RNAcentral lists this long non-coding RNA (780 nucleotides) under Numida meleagris (helmeted guineafowl). RNAcentral describes it as "lncRNA (ENSNMEG00000016960.1)". Lineage: Eukaryota; Metazoa; Chordata; Aves; Galliformes; Numididae. The record is from RNAcentral.
GCUGAAGUCUGGAGCCUAUUUCCAUGCCAUAGCUAGUGGGAAUCACAAUUUCUGGCCUUCUUGACCUCUGGAAAUGCUGUAGUGGGAUAUCAGCCAUGUCCCCCAAGGUUCUGCCUGGCUGAGGGCCUUGGGGCAGCCUGACAUUAAGUAUUACUCAUUGGACCUGCAAAGUACCAGAUGUUGUCCUGCUGACUCCUCACCCCUCUGGGGUGGAUAGAAGGGUGUAGAGGGACAUGCAGGAAAAUUGUGUGCCACAGACAUGGGAAAAGAAGAAAUUCUGGGUGGAACAACUCCAGGCAUGUGGUGGAAAGUUGCCAAGGAGACUGUGCAGAUGAGCCAUAACACAGCCUGAGAGUCUGUCCUCCCCAGCCGUGAUGACAGUCCUCUCAGCUAGUCAAGGCUUACUUCCUAAAGGAUUUCAAGAUGUUACUGCUGAACAAAUAAAGAACUUGGUGGGAAGAUGAACAACUUGAUCAAGCCAGACCUCUCCCAUGGGCAGAGCUUGUCCUGCUGCUGCUGCCAGACAUUUGCUCAGCAGAAAGCAGUACUCAGCCUCUGCCUUCAACAGCCCAGGCAGAACUGUGUGCCAUUGUUGAUAUUCUGCUCCUGGGAAAGCAGUCAGAAAUAGGAGAUGUCCUGCAGGAACAUGGAAGACAUCAUCUGUCUUGGAGCUUGGUGAAAAUCAGCCUUACAAGUGAAGGCAGUGGAGCAAGUGGAGACACACCUGCUUGUACUGUGGUUAAAGAUGCUCUAAUAUCUUUUAAGGAUGUUCCUCACUGA